GAUGAAGAACGUAGCGAAAUGCGAUAAGUAGUGUGAAUUGCAGAAUUCAGUGAAUCAUCGAAUCUUUGAAUGCACAUUGCGCCCUUUGGUAUUCCUUAGGGCAUGCCUGUUCGAGCGUCAUUUAAACCUUCAAGCUAAGCUUGGUGUUGGGUGACUGUCCGCUUCACGGCGGACUCGCCUCAAAAUUAUUGGCGGCCGGUACAUUGGCUUCGAGCGCAGCAGAAACGCGAACUCGGGCCCGUCGUAUUGGCUCCCAGAAGCUAUCUUCACAAUUUUGACCUCGGAUCAGGUAGGGAUACCCGCUGAACUUAAGCAUAUCAAUAAGCGGAGGA
RNAcentral lists this unclassified non-coding RNA (332 nucleotides) under soil metagenome. RNAcentral's name for it is "partial contains 5.8S ribosomal RNA, internal transcribed spacer 2, and large subunit ribosomal RNA". The stretch from base 1 to 120 matches the Rfam family "5.8S ribosomal RNA", at positions 35 to 154 of the family's 154-position model. The record is from RNAcentral.